GUCAUGGUAGCUCAGUGGUAGAGCAUCGGACGCCUUAUUCGAAGGUCGCAGGUUCAGAUCCUGCCCACGGCA
Molecule: transfer RNA, 72 nt
Filed under: Rhipicephalus microplus (southern cattle tick)
Lineage: Eukaryota; Metazoa; Arthropoda; Arachnida; Ixodida; Ixodidae
Description: tRNA-Arg
Rfam family: tRNA
About the family: Transfer RNA (tRNA) molecules are approximately 80 nucleotides in length.
Source: Rfam by way of RNAcentral